GGGCGUAAAGAGCACGCAGGCGGUCUGCUACGUAGUGGGUGACAGCUCCUAGCUUAACUGGGAGAGUGCUUGCUAAACGGACAGACUUGAGGGCCAGAGAGGGACAUGGAACUCCGGGUGUAGUGGUGAAAUGCGUAGAUAUCCGGAAGAACACCAAAGGCGAAGGCAAUGUCCUGGAUGGUUACUGACGCUCAGGUGCGAAAGCUAGGGGAGCGAACGGGAUUAGAUACCCCGGUAGUCCUAGCCGUAAGCGAUGACCACUAGGCGUGUGGGGUAUCGACCCCUUACGUGCCGUCUCUAACGAAUUAAGUGGUCCGCCUGGGGAGUACGGUCGCAAGAUUAAAACUCAAAGGAAUUGACGGGGACCCGCACAAGCGGCGGAGCGUGUGGUUUAAUUCGAUGCAACGCGAAGAACCUUACCAGGGUUUGACAUGUCGAUGAUGAACCGAGAAAUCGGCCUCCCUUCGGGGCAUCGGCACAGGUGCUGCAUGGCUGUCGUCAGCUCGUGCCGUGAGGUGUUGGGUUAAGUCCCGCAACGAGCGCAACCCCUGUCGUCGGUUAUUGGUGUCCGACGAAACUGCCGCGAUCAACGUGGAGGAAGGUGGGGAUGACGUCAAGUCAGCACGGCCCUUACAUCCUGGGCGACACACACGCUACAAUGGUCGGGACAAAGAGUUGCCAACCCGCGAGGGGGAGCUAAUCUCACAAACCCGGUCUCAGUUCAGAUUGGAGGCUGCAACCCGCCUCCAUGAAGUUGGAGUUGCUAGUAACCGUAGGUCAGCACACUACGGUGAAUACGUUCCCG
RNAcentral lists this ribosomal RNA (805 nucleotides) under uncultured Chloroflexota bacterium. RNAcentral's name for it is "bacterial SSU rRNA". It matches the Rfam family "Bacterial small subunit ribosomal RNA", at positions 556 to 1376 of the family's 1533-position model. The record is from RNAcentral. Lineage: Bacteria; Bacillati; Chloroflexota.